Long non-coding RNA from Ananas comosus (pineapple), 1017 nucleotides. RefSeq lists it as uncharacterized. The transcript has 6 exons. The record is from RefSeq and is a predicted model, not a curated record. Lineage: Eukaryota; Viridiplantae; Streptophyta; Magnoliopsida; Poales; Bromeliaceae.
GGCGAGCUUAGGUUGAGUCUUUAUGACUGGCCACAGUAAUUGGGUGUACUUUGAACUACUCGUGUAGUACACUGAACUUUAGCAAAUUGCGAAGUUUGAGUGUGGGAAUAGUAAUUGGAACGAUUCCACAUCUUUUGAGAGGUUGUCGAAAAGUUUUCGGCAGGUUACUGGAGUGACUAAGCGACCGGAAGAGCAAAAGUGCAUUGCAAAUGCGAAAUGCUGAAUUUUACACUGAGUACCGGUACCAACUUGCCUGAGUACCAGUACCCAGUAUAGCAGCUGUGUGGCUUGUGGUUGUUUUGGUAAUUUUGCUUUGAGCUUAUCCUUUAAACACCCUAGCUCGAUCCCUGCAGCAGCUUAAGGUGUGCUGGAGCUCAGAGAACAGGGUAAGCUUUUCUCUCUUUCUCUCUCUAGGGUUUUGGGGUCGUUUUGAGUAGAAUCAAGUGAUUUGAGCUCAUUUUCUUGCCCUCUCUUGUUCCUAACUGAUUUGGGAGGCUUUAGAGCUGUUGAAGGUUGUGAGAGAAAGGAGUUUGGAGGUAUUUCGCAGCCCUAGCUCUGCAAGAAGCUGAGUUGAACUUGAUAAGCUGGUUUUGGGAAGGAUAAAACAACUAUAAAAGAGGUGUUUCUCUAUUCUAACUCAGCUAGGAGCUAAGUUGAAGCUUGGUGAGAUUUGGGGAUGCUUGUAGUAGCUGUAGAAGGGGUGUUUUGCUGUGAUUCUUCAAGCCUAACUCAGUCGAACCUGAGUAGGAGCUGUACAAGGGCUGUGAACCACUUUGGCUGAGUUUGAGUGGUCCUUGUAGAUCAGUUUUGGUGUACUUCAACUUGAGUUGGAGCUCAGUAAGGUUCGCAGCAGAGUUGAUGAUCACCUUGAGCUGAAUUUUGGUGAUUCUUGAAGGCUGGAUUCGAUGUGUUCCAACCUGAAGUGGAGUGGAAUUUAAGUUUGGAUUCUAAGCGAAGGUGCUUGGAGGCUUUGGAUUACCUUCGUUAGCGGAAUCGACGAGAGUCGACAGCGAUUUG